This is a long non-coding RNA of Mirounga angustirostris (Northern elephant seal), 3544 nucleotides long. RefSeq lists it as uncharacterized. The record is from RefSeq and is a predicted model, not a curated record. The transcript is spliced from 4 exons. Lineage: Eukaryota; Metazoa; Chordata; Mammalia; Carnivora; Phocidae.
CUUUAGAAAUGCUGGUGCUAAACAAAUAGAUAAACAGCAGAGAGAGGUCGGCAACCAAGCUGGAACUCCCAGAAUUUUCAAGGGAGCGGCAAUGUUUAUCCACGGAGGUUUUUAAGCCAGCAUUACUUGCUGAAGUUCCAACAGUAGGAGCUUAGCCACAAAGAGUCUCAUUAUAUAGUAUCUUGGCAAUCCAAAUAGUCCCUCCCCUGACUGAAUUUGGUUGACUCCGUCGAUGACAGAGGCCAAAAUCAGGAGUUUCGAGUCCUGUGAAAGGUUCCUUAGCUUCAGGGAGAGAGAGAGAAGAGCCGUUCCACCGUCCCGCGCCUCGCCACACCCUGAACUCAGGCCAGGCUGAGGGAAAUAGCGUUGCAUAGAGCGUGUGGCCCGUAGUAUGAGGACAUAAACAUAAAGAAGUAGUUUCUGCCACUAAGAUACAUCUGGCACUUAGCAGUGGCUUGAUAAAUAUUUGCUGAGAAACUGAGUGAACACAGUCCCACGUAUUUCAACAAAACACUUACCACAAACUAUGUUACAGUUUUGUUUUUAUAGUGGGACUUUCUCCUAGGCUGUGGAAAUUUUCGUAUCCCAUGGACUCUUUGUAGUCUCUACCAAAGGACCUCCCCUGCGGUCCCGAAGGAACCCCUGCCAUUUCUUUUGAAGACAGUAAGAGCCGCAGCUGCUGAGGGGGCCCUGGUCCCCCCUCAUGGAGACUUUGGCGUGCCUCUGCUCCGAUGUCACCCUACCCUGUGCGCAGCUGUUGGACCCAAAGAGCUGCUCUGAGAGUCGCAGUAGCCCUAAGAGCUCCAGAGUCAUCCUGAGAGAAUGUUCUACAAAGAACGCACGUUUGUAGGUAAGCAGGACUCCACUCCACUCUUGGAUUGCCCAACUGCCGGUGCUCCUGGCCCCCAAGAGCAGAGGGUUCUGACAGGAGGAAUCAGUAACUUUAUUUCCCGAUGCAGAGAACAUAUUCCUUUCCUCUGAAACCUGGAAAAUCAUAUCCAUUAGUGGCCUAUUUAUUCAUAAACAUCCUCAAAACGAGGGUUCUGUCUGCUCAGGUAAGGACAGUCUUAAAUCUCAGGGAGUCAAGUUCUUCCUUUAAUCAGCCCCAAUAAUACCAGUCAGAAGCUCUGGUUUCGAGUUCUCUGAGCCAUAUGAGCAAGCCAUUUUGCUUCCAGGGCACUUUCCUCAGCCUCUUUGGCAUAAACUGCAACGAGGUCUUAGCUAUUUUCUGUUUGAAGUGGUGUCUCGGACUUUGGGAUUCAUGUGAUCAUUGAGCAUGCUGAGAAAAAUGAAGCAAACAGUGUGACAUCAAGGUGAGGAUUGCCCUUUCCAGUGAUGGGGGGGUGGGGCAGACAAGAUUAGCCAAAUGGCAGUACUGUAACAGGCUCGAGGUGCAAUUUUCAUUACUCUCUGCAGAACGCGCACUGAUCUGGGGAGGAAGGAAGACAAUAAUGAGCGGCACUGUCCCACAACUGAGCUUUACGGACACGAAAAUGUUCUUCAUCAAACUCCAACCUCUUUCAUUUGUUUCUUCCUAAUUCUCAUCUCCUCAGGCUGGCUGGGAAUAUUCUCUUCCCUGGUUUCUGUCAUCAGGUCCUUGGAUCAUCAUCCAUCACUCACUCAGCAAGUAUGUAUUAGGUCCCCGUCGUGUACCCGGCCCUGGGAGUAAGUUCCAGAGCUUCUGUCUAGUAAUGAAGUAUUUGAGGUAGAGAGUGGUAAGUACGAUAAAAAGGCAUCUAUCUACAAGGCAAGGGGGCCAGGGAAGGAAGAACUCUCUUCCAGCAGUUCCUGAUAACUUUCCUACAAGUAAGACCCUGGAGCUGAGUCCGUCAGGACAUAUGGGAGUUUCUGAGUGAAUAAGUACAGGAUGAGGAGCAGGGGGCCGGAGACAGAACUCCGGGGAAAGGAAGAAGGCUAGCAGCAGCCAAUGCUUACUGAUGUGUGUGUCACUGACAUGUUUAUCAUGUCCUACGCACUCUUCCGUGUUCUUUACCGGCAUUCAUCUUUUUAAUCCUUACAAAAACUAUAUGAGGUAGUCCCACUGUGGCAACUGACACACAGAGAGACAAGCAAGUUGGCCAAAAUCACACAACUAAAAAGUGAUGAGUCCACAGUAAGAAUCAGAGCCUGAGCCCUUAACCGGUAGGAUAGUGUGCAGAAAGAGAUGUGCACGGGUCCAGAAAUGCGAGAACAAGCCCUUCCAGGGGAAACAGGAGUCAAUGCGAAGGGACAGAGUGGUCACGAGGGAGCAUCAGAAGCAAAUGAGAGUGAAGAGAUAAUGGCCACGUUAGAGAGGGUUGCAUACCCUGCUGAAGUUUGUACUUUUUUUGGGGGGGGUGUUUAAUUUUUUUUAUUAUUAUGUUAUGUUAAUCACCAUACAUUACAUCAUUAGCUUUUGAUGUAGUGUUCCAUGAUUCAUUGUUUGCGUAUAACACCCAGUGCUCCAUGCAGUACAUGCCCUCUUUAAUACCCAUCACCAGGCUAACCCAUCCCUCCACCCCCUCCGCUCUAGAACCCUGUUUGUUUCUCAGAGUCCAUAGUCUCUCAUGGUUCGUCUCCCCCUCUGAUUCCCCCCCUUCAUUUUUCCCUUCCUGCUAUCUUCUUUUUUUUUUUUUUUUAACAUAAUGUAUUAUUUGUUUCAGAGGUACAGGUCUGUGAUUCAACAGUCUUACACAAUUCACAGUGCUCACCAUAGCAGAUACCUUCCCCAAUGUCUCUCACCCAGCCACCCCAUCCUCCCCACCCCCACCACUCCAGUAACCCUCAGUUUGUUUCCUGAGAUUAAGAAUGCCUCAUAUCAGUGAGGUCAUAUGAUACAUGUCUUUCUCUGAUUGACUUAUUUAAGCCUCAGAGCACCGGGAGCCAUGAAAGGAUCUAUACCCAAGCUCAGAUCUGCAUUGUUGGAAGAUGACUGACAGCAGGGUGGAGGAGAGAUUGCAGAGGAGCCAGCAAGCAGAGACCAGUUGAGACAGUAAUGUCACUGUACAGGAAGAAGAGAUGUGGAUACAGAACACAGACCGAGGGACAACCAUGUGAAGACACACAGAGAAAAUGGCCGUUUGCAAGCCAAGGACAUGAGCCUCAGAAGAAACCAAACCUGCUGACACCUUGAUUUUGGACUUCUAGCCUCCCAAAUUGAUCCUACCCAGGAUAUCACAUUACAUUUAAUUUUGAUGCGUCCUGAGGCUUCUCUUGGUUAUGGCGGUUUCAUAAACUUCCCUUGUUUUUUGAUGGCCCUGACUCUUUGGAGGACUACUGGUCAGAUAUUUUGUAGGAUGCCCAUCUACUAGAAUUUGCCCGGUGGAUUUUUUCCUGAUUGGAGCUCUCCCUCCAGCCAGAGGCACACCAAGACGGGUGGCUACCCUGGCCAAGGAAGAAGUUGUAGAAGAAUUCAGACCUGUUAAGAAAAAAAAAUAAUUUAUUCUUAAAGUGGCACAAAUGCAUUCUGACCAUCUGAGGACAAUUCAGUGACUGUCAAGAAUCUGUUCUGAUGCUCUCGCAUGUCCCACACCAAUACGUGUUAUUACUUGAAUGCCACAAUGUG